RNAcentral lists this ribosomal RNA (849 nucleotides) under uncultured Bacillota bacterium. RNAcentral describes it as "bacterial SSU rRNA". It matches the Rfam family "Bacterial small subunit ribosomal RNA", at positions 70 to 896 of the family's 1533-position model. Lineage: Bacteria; Bacillati; Bacillota. The record is from RNAcentral.
AAAGCGCCCUUCGGGGUGCAAGUAGAGUGGCGCACGGGUGAGUAACACGUAGGUAAUCUACCUUUGGAUGGGGAAUAACAACCGGAAACGGUUGCUAAUACCGCAUAAUGCAGCGGCACCUAAUGGUGACAGUUGUUAAAGCGGGGGAUCGAAAGACCUCGCGUCUGAAGAGGAGCCUGCGGCAGAUUAGCUAGUUGGUAAGGUAACGGCUUACCAAGGCGAUGAUCUGUAGCCGGCCUGAGAGGGCGGUCGGCCACACUGACACUGACAUACGGGUCAGACUCCUACGGGAGGCAGCAGUCGGGAAUUUUGGGCAAUGGGCGAAAGCCUGACCCAGCAACGCCGCGUGAAGGAUGAAAUCCCUCGGGAUGUAAACUUCGCAAGAACAGGAAGAAUAAGUUUGUGCCAACACCACAAGCGAUGACGGUACUGUUUGUAAGCUCCGGCUAACUCCGUGCCAGCAGCCGCGGUAAUACGGGGGGAGCAAGCGUUGUUCGGAUUUACUGGGCGUAAAGGGCGCGUAGGCGGCCACCGCAAGUCAGUUGUGAAAUCUCUGGGCUUAACCCAGAAAGGUCAACUGAUACUGCGGGGCUAGAGUGCAGAAGGGGCAACUGGAAUUCUCGGUGUAGCGGUGAAAUGCGUAGAUAUCGAGAGGAACACCUGCGGCGAAGGCGGGUUGCUGGGCUGACACUGACGCUGAUGUGCGAAAGCUAGGGGAGCGAACGGGAUUAGAUACCCCGGUAGUCCUAGCCUUAAACGAUGAAUGCUUGGUGUCUGGGGUUUUAUAGUCCCCGGGUGCCGUCGCUAACGCUUUAAGCAUUCCGCCUGGGGAGUACGGUCGCAAGACUG